Molecule: transfer RNA, 78 nt
Filed under: Microgaster campestris
Lineage: Eukaryota; Metazoa; Arthropoda; Insecta; Hymenoptera; Braconidae
Description: tRNA-Leu
Source: RNAcentral
UAUUUACUUUGACAGAUUAAUGUAUUAAAUUUAGAAUUUAAAUAAUAUAUAAAUAUUUAUAAUUUUUUAUAUAAGUAA